CCAGGAACUAAAGGUGACAUCGGGCAGGAGCAAUGACACCACCCACCAAUUGCCAUCCCACAGCACCUGAACAAGAAAAGCUGAGCAGGUCCAGCAGUGAUAACGGUUAACAGCCUGGUAACUAGAAAUCAGGUCUAUAGUAACAAGGCGGGUUGCAAGUCCAAGCAAAGCAGCAAGGCAAGGACAUGAUCUGCAAGGUUGAAAGCCAACCCACCAAAUCUCUUAUGCAAGAACUAAGGAAGAAGCAAGGGCAGAGGCCUGAGCCAGUGUCCAGCUCCUUGUUUGGGAGGCAGGGAAGGAGCUACAAAAGCCACAGGUGAAGAUUUUCUCACCACCUCUUGCCUGUUUUCACAAAAGCUAUGGCAUAUUAGUGCCUGCCUUGGAUUCUGAUAGCUAAAGACUAAGGAGAGAUGUGGAAGAGAUUGCAAAAGAGAGUUGUGGAGGAAGGUGGAUACAGGCUACAACUGCAUCAAAAGCGUGCUUUGUUCCUGUAUUUGUGUUCUUCUCUGUGAUCCUUCCCAUAUGAAAUUCAGAUUUUGCCAGACUCUUUUGGCCAGGUCCACAUGUGGUACUGGCUUGUAAGGUAUGGUUUGGUUGAGGCUGUGGCAGAGCUGGUUUGGGAACACUUUAGGGAUCACACAGAAGUUGACCUUGAGACAACGAUCUUAUGCAACUUAACAAAAAUAACACAAUGAUUUAUUGAACUAGAAGUGACUUUCACAGAAAAGCUAUCUUAUGAAUUCCAUUUGUCCUCUGCUACAAAUUUAUGAGUGGUAUCACAGGUGUUUUUAUAAAUACAUAAUCCUGGGCAAUCAAUCUAUGUAAUUGUAGUAUAGGUCAAUCUACCUUUCAAACAUUCCUUCAGUAUUUUGGCUUUUGUAUACUUUUGGUUUUUUAGCACUUCCAGCUUCCUGUUCCCAGAGACAUUCGGAAACAAGUAGUUGUAAAGGUAAGCAGAGAGCUCAGUGUUCAGUGAGUAAGGUUUUGGAAAUGUUUUUGUAGUUUACUCAUCAUGAAAAGACGAGUGACAGCUUUUAGCAUGGUUUCUAGUGAUACAUUUGAUUACAUUAUCAAUAACUGCAUAGUAAUGGCUUCCCACUGUUUCUUUCCAAUGUAGGUAGUUGCUGGUGGUGCUUUCUCGUGAAAGAAGAGGAAAGAUGGUUAUCAGGAAAAGCUAUUAGAAUGUAAACCAAGAGAAACUCAAAAAAUCUCUCCUUUUUUGCAUUACAAUGCUACUUGUUUCAGACAUUCAGAAAAGCUGCUGACUGACUGCUUUGCUUACUCUAAGCAUUCCUUUAGUUCUGUAGAUUAAAUAAA
Pezoporus occidentalis (night parrot) is the source of this 1317-nucleotide long non-coding RNA. RefSeq lists it as uncharacterized. The record is from RefSeq and is a predicted model, not a curated record. The transcript has 3 exons. Lineage: Eukaryota; Metazoa; Chordata; Aves; Psittaciformes; Psittacidae.